This is a long non-coding RNA of Hemibagrus wyckioides, 2491 nucleotides long. RefSeq lists it as uncharacterized. NCBI's taxonomy places the organism in Eukaryota, Metazoa, Chordata, Actinopteri, Siluriformes, Bagridae. The transcript is spliced from 5 exons. The record is from RefSeq and is a predicted model, not a curated record.
CUCCAGCACGUAGAGCUGCUGAUUGCAGAAGUAACACAGCUCACUGCUUCCUACGUCUGCCACCGGCACUGUGGGCAUGAGCUACGGCAUGAGAAAGAACAAGCAUGAUGUAAACUGUGAUGUCCACGCACCUACUGCAAGCAGCCAGACGCUCCUGAGGGACAAGUCACAUGACCUCAUUUGUGGCUCAUGUUAUCUGUCACGACUGUCAGAGCCGCUGUUACAGAAAAUGAAUCAACACCAAUCACAUUCAAGAACACUGCUGUGCUAUAACCUAAUAUAAUCACUACAUAUUCUGGUUCAAUAUGACGUCGGUCCACCCUUUGCAGCUAUAACAGCUUCAACUCUUCUGGGAAGGCUGUCCACAAGGUUUAGGAGUGUGUUUAUGGGAAUUUUUGACCAUUCUUCCAGAAGCGCAUUUGUGAGGUCACACACUGAUGUUGGACGAGAAGGCCUGGCUCUCAGUCUCCGCUCUAAUUCAUCCCAAAGGUGUUCUAUCGGGUUGAGGUCAGGACUCUGUGCAGGCCAGUCAAGUUCAUCCACACCAGACUCUGUCAUCCAUGUCUUUAUGGACCUUGCUUUGUGCACUGGUGCACAGUCAUGUUGGAAGAGGAAGGGGCCAGCUCCAAACUGUUCCCACAAAGUUGGGAGCAUGGAAUUGUCCAAAAUGUCUUGGUAUGCUGAAGCAUUCAGAGUUCCUUUCACUGGAACUAAGGGGCCAAGCCCAGCUCCUGAAAAACAACCCCACACCAUAAUCUCCCCUCCACCAAACUUUACACUUGGCACAAUGCAGUCAGACAAGUACCGUUCUCCUGGUAACCGCCAAACCCAGACUCGUCCAUCAGAUUGCCAGAUGGAGAAGUGCGAUUCGUCACUCCAGAGAACGCGUCUCCACUGCUCUAGAGUCCAGUGGCGGCGUGCUUUACACCACUGCAUCCGACGCUUUGCAUUGCACUUGGUGACAUAUGGCUUGGAUGCAGCUGCUCGGCCAUGGAAACCCAUUCCAUGAAGCUCUCUGCGCACUGUUCUUGAGCUAAUCUGAAGGCCACAGUUUGGAAGUCUGUAGCGAUUGACUCUGCAGAAAGUUGGCGACCUCUUCGCACUAUGCGCCUCAGAAUCCGCUGACCCCGCUCCGUCAGUUUACGUGGCCUACCACUUCGUGGCUGAGUUGCUGUCGUUCCCAAACACUUCCACGUUCUUAUAAUACAGCUGACAGUUGACUGUGGAAUAUUUAGGAGUGAGGAAAUUUCACGACUGGAUUUGUUGCACAGGUGGCAUCCUAUCACAGUUCCACGCUGGAAUUCACUGAGCUCCUGAGAGCGACCCAUUCUUUCACAAAUGUUUGUAAAAACAGUCUGCAUGCCUAGGUGCUUGAUUUUAUACACCUGUGGCCAUGGAAGUGAUUGGAACACCUGAUUCUGAUUAUUUGGAUGGGCACAAAUCUUCCUCCUCCUGCUGAGAUGAAAACGUCAAACUGAUAGGAAGAAACAGGGUGAGACUCGGGAUGCAACAAAGCCCUCCAGCCUGAAAGAGAACCAGAGUUAUUUUUUUUCCAGCUUCGCUUUGGGUCACACUUUUAUAACAGUGUAAGAGAGUAAUAAAAUCUUUAAUCUUGAAGUGAAGUAUGGCUUUGUAUAGAAACUAAUGACAUGCCUGUUCCUGAUCCUUGAGGUUCAACCAAACCAUUAUAGGUCACUCCAGUGUGAACUUCAACCCCCAAGAGCAGAGCCAACUUCAGCAAAAUUAACUGCAACUGCCGGAUACCUGCAUAUGCACAAUAACAACAAAUACAGACAGAUGAGGAUUUUUUUUUUAUUUCACAUGAAGAUAUGCUGCUGCUUUGUGCUUUGUACUGUUUUCAUCCAGUAACACUACAGAGGUGAACAAAUAAUAAAUUUGUUUGUUUAUUUAUUACCUUAUUACCUGUGCCUGUGGAUAUUACUGGAAGCUGUGAAUUUCCCAUUGGGAUGAAUAAAGUAUCUAUCUGUCUGUCUGUCUGUCUGUCUGUGCUCCCCAGUCCCGUAGUUUGGUUGGUCAAAAACCUAAGCAAUCAGGCUAAAAAAUGCUAGUUAAUAUUACUCUAUGUAAUGACACAUGGCCAGCUGGUUAGUUAGGAACCGCACCAAAUAAGUAUGAUCAUCGUACGUUGGCUUUGUACGUUGGCUUUGUACUUAAAUCUAUUUUGUUUUUUACCUUACUGCAUGUUCCUGUUUCUGAAAAGUUCUUCUGUUGUCUAUGCAUGCUUAUUAAUUUGUCAGCAAGUGCACAAGGAUUCAGUUUAAACAUGUAUACCAAAUAAAAUGUUUGUUGCACGAAUUUCACCAAGAAGUAACUUUCUUAUACAGCAGAUAGAUCUGGUCUACAUACUGGACUAGCAGCAUUCCAACACUGUCUAUAUUUAGUAUGCCUAGACUGGGAUGAUUCACUUUUUGUAGCACUCUGCUUGCUUGUGUACACCUUGUAAAAUUUCGAUUCUGGAAAUGGUCUCCCU